CAAGGCACAGCAGAUAGGAAAACAGCCUUGCUCCCCACUCCAGAUCUAUUAAAAAAGCCUGAGUGCACACAUGUAUUUUGUCUUGCUGCUGUUAAUCUCCCAUCUGAGGAAACCAAGGCUGGCACAUACACAUUUGGAGCUAAAGCCAUCCUUCCCUGAGAAUUCCUUAAUUCCAUAUUCAAGCAUCAUGAGGUUGAUUCUUGAGGCUUCAAAAUACCAAGAAGAUGCAUUCCUGCCACCACAGACUGUAGUUGUGCAUAGCUGCUGAAACUUCCAGGGUCUCCCAGUAUCAGCCUCCCAUGAGCACAGCAGAGGGAUAGCCUAGGAGGAGAGCUUAUGAAGCUUGAAAGUGGGAGACAUCAGCUGAACGUGAGGGACAACAACUCCAGCAUUUCCUGGAUGGUUCUUCCCAGUUUUUCUAGCUAAAAUCAAUCAGCAGUGGACAAGUCAAGAUAUGUUUCCCUUGAAGAACACCAAGUUGUAACUGCAGCUUAUGAAGCACCUUUCCACCUUCUGCCAUUUUGGAAAACCUUUUCCCUUGCAUCAUCUUCAGCCCACGACAAGGAUCAGCAUCAUCUGAAGAAAAAACAUUAAGAAAAGGUCCUCAGAUAUGAUGCAGCAUCCCUGCUGGUGUCUGUGCUCAAAACUCACUUUCUGCCCUAGGGUUAUUGUGUCACAAUUCCAAGACAGGUAACGGAGUAUUCUAUACUUAGGUUUUCUACUCAGAUCAUGAACCUUGAACUCAAGCACAGUCCUAGCUCCACACAGGGCUCCCCUGCUGGGGACAGGCCACAGUGCUUAUGAGAAAGUGAAGUCCACGGUUCACACCCUGGCACAUGAGGUUAAUCUGAAUUCAGUGGUUCAUGAUAUUUGACCUAGGAAAGAAGAUCCUGAAAGUCACAGAAUCAUUAAGGUUGGAGAACACCACUGAGAUCAUCUAGUUGAACCAUCAACCCAUCACCAUCAUACCAUUAAACCAUGCCACUCAGUGUGACACCUACCCUUUUCUUGAAAAUCUCCAGGAAAAGCUGAUAUAUGGGCAUUUUUGCUGACAUUCUUCCAACAAUGAUGACCUCCAUAAGAAUUUCUAGGCACCUCCUGAUGUAAAUCGCCUGAGUUGACUGUUAGAAGACACGCCAGAUCUGGAAGUACAUUUAAAAGGAAGUACUCAGUAGUAGAUUGCUUAGAAGAAUGAACAGGUGGCAUCUACCCAUCCAUCCUCCUCUGCUCACUGUCUAUAACGACACUGCAAGACAAAGGACUGUGGAUUCCCAUCCCUGGAGGUAUUCAAGGUCAGGUUGGAUUCAGCCUUGGGCAGCCUGAUCUAGUGGUUGGCAACCCUGCCUAUGGCAGGGGAUUGGAACUGGAUUUAAGGUCCCUUCCAACCCAAGCCAUUCUAUGAUUCUGUAAUUCUACAACUACUCACACAGACUUAGAGCCCACUCCAGUCACAGCUCUAUAGGUGAAUCUUCACAGCCCUCCAAGUUAAAAGAGCCAACACUCAUUGCAGCUACGGUGCGCCCUGUCUCGGUAUGAUUAUGCAUCUAUCUAGGAAUUUGUUUCAUCCCUGUGCCAGACAUCCAACAACUGCAGAGAGCAACACUGCUUAACUGAAUGUUUCCAAUGUUAGGCGCUGAAAGACAUGAUAAAAUAAAAAUGAUCUCUUUCAUUUCCCAUAGCACCUUCUCUUAGAGGGUCUGACAUGAGAAGAAUACCCUUUCUUAUGCUACUGGGCUUUGUAAUCCCAGAGAUCAACCUUCACAUAAAUGGGGAAAAGGAGGUAGACGGCACUCAUGGGAUUUCACUAAGACUAAACAAAAAGUUUACAACGGAGGCAGAAGGGAGACACAGUGCUGCAAACUUCUCUUCCACCCUUUAGACCUAGUACUACUUUUAUUUAUGAUCCUACAAUGCACAGGUCCUGCUACUCCUUCGCUGGAGAAAGGACAAAAUUACUAAGGUUUUUACACCACAUCUAAGGUGGAUACGACAAAACCUGACAUCAGACGAAUGCUUUAGUUCCAGUUUGACAACAGAUUCAUUAGAACGGUCCCAAAGAUUUGCAUCGUAAACAAAGCAAUAAACAACAAUGAAAGCUUGCAGCCUACUAAGGCUAUUCUGGGAGCCAGGACCUCAGCAGUAUCUCAGAAGGUCACAUCAGAAGGGCACACCAGCUGCUAUCAGGAGGUCUUGUGGCUACUUGGCUCUGGUUGGUGUCAAAUCCAUCCCCCGGUGCACGCCACAAAGCAGCCUGUGACUGACUCCUGUGAGUGACUCCGUGUAUUUCCAGCUCCCAUUUACUUAAUUUAGCUGCUGGCUGACGCCACACCUUCUUUCCCCAGCCACAUUCAUUACUCCAGGCCUUGAGGGAGAGCAGGGGUGCAUAUGCUGUUGCAGUCUUUUAUUUCUGGCAUGUGCCUGGAGUGCUGAGCUGGCCAAGGCACAUGGGAGAUCCCUCCCACCCCAGGGCAAAGGCUAUUUCAACCAUCCCUGGGAAGGGCCAGGAAAGGAAGCCUGCCAUGCAGACCUGGCAGCCAUCUCCAUUCCAGCUUCCAAAACCAGAGCAUGGAAGAAUUCACCUCUUAUCAGCAGCCCUGUUCCUCCUUGCAGCUCGCCCUGCAGCUUUCCAGGCUGCCUGCUGGAGUGAGAAGGGUGCAGCUCCUGGCACAGGGCUCAGAAAGGUGCGUUCACCCAGGUGCACCCAACCUGGAAGGCUGUGAUAGCAAUCACAGCCAGGCCUGCUGGUUCUGCCCCAAAUUGUUUCCAAGUGUAUUAAAACUAGGACUUGAAACAGCAAUGCCAGGCUUUGGCUUCGGCCAGUCCUUACCUGUCACCUGC
Long non-coding RNA from Gallus gallus (chicken), 2838 nucleotides. NCBI's taxonomy places the organism in Eukaryota, Metazoa, Chordata, Aves, Galliformes, Phasianidae. The record is from Ensembl.